RNAcentral lists this ribosomal RNA (279 nucleotides) under Agrobacterium radiobacter. Its description in RNAcentral is "partial 16S ribosomal RNA". It matches the Rfam family "Bacterial small subunit ribosomal RNA", at positions 1264 to 1533 of the family's 1533-position model. Lineage: Bacteria; Pseudomonadati; Pseudomonadota; Alphaproteobacteria; Hyphomicrobiales; Rhizobiaceae. The record is from RNAcentral.
CAAGCUAAUCUCUUAAAGCCAGUCUCAGUUCGGAUUGUAGGCUGCAACUCGCCUACAUGAAGUCGGAAUCGCUAGUAAUCGCGGAUCAGCACGCCGCGGUGAAUACGUUCCCGGGCCUUGUACACACCGCCCGUCACACCACGAGAGUUUGUAACACCCGAAGUCGGUGAGGUAACCUUUUAGGAGCCAGCCGCCUAAGGUGGGAUAGAUGAUUGGGGUGAAGUCGUAACAAGGUAGCCGUAUCGGAAGGUGCGGCUGGAUCACCUCCUUUCUAAGGAA